This is a long non-coding RNA of Xenopus laevis (African clawed frog), 1524 nucleotides long. RefSeq lists it as uncharacterized. The transcript has 2 exons. The record is from RefSeq and is a predicted model, not a curated record. Lineage: Eukaryota; Metazoa; Chordata; Amphibia; Anura; Pipidae.
AACCUGUUCCCCCCAGGUCUUAUAAAGCACAGCCUGUUCCCCCCAGGUCUUAUAAAGCACAGCCUGUUCCCCCAGGUUUUUUAAAGCACAGCCUUUUCCCCCUAGGUCUUCGAAAGCCCAACCUGUUCCCCCCAGGUCUUAUAAAGCACAACCUGUUCCCCCCAGGUCUUAUAAAGCAUUGCCUGUUCCCCCCAGGUUUUUUAAAGCACAGCCUGUCCCCCCCAGGUGUUAGAAAGCCCAACCUGUUCCCCCCAGGUGUUAGAAAGCCCAACCUGUUCCCCCCAGGUCUUAGAAAGCCCAAACUGUUCCCCCCAGGUCUUAGAAAGCCCAAUCUGUUCCCCCCAGGUCUUAUAGAGCACAGUAUGUUCCUCCCCAGGCCUUAUUAUCAUUUGUGAUGUCACCAGAGGGGGGAAAGGGGUGGGCAUAGCUAGUGGCCUGUGACUGGCUAAAUUUCAAUCUGUGGCCAGUCACAAGCCACCAGCGGUUCCCCUCUAAUGACAUCACAAACAGCCUCUCAGAAUGAGCAAAUCGCAUUUGUAACAUUAAUAAAAGCUUCUGACAAUAUUAAGCAUAUUAACUUAUACAUCCUGUCCAAUAAUGAAUGCCAUUUGAAUAGUCAGAUCAAGACAUAGGGGUCAUUUACAAUGCAAAAUAAAAGUAUCUUGUGUGUCCUGCAUUGUGUUUGGCAUUGGAUCCCUGUCCAUAACGCCUGCCCCUGCAUUACCAUCACCAGCCUUUCCAUUAUAUGCCAUCAGAGACAUUGCAUUUCCCUAGGCAGGACGGUAAGUGAGAAAAGGGCACUAAUGAUUAUACACUAUUUUUGGAAAUUUUUGAUGAAUGCAUAUACAUUUCCUAUCUUGAAUUGUAUCCAGCCUAUGACUUAAAAGAUUUGCUUUAAAAGUAUAUGUCCUUAUUAAGAGGCACAAGGAAAGGAAGUCCAUACCCUGUAGAGUUAUUCUAGUUAUCUGUGUCUGCUACCUGCUCUGGUCCAUUUACUGGACUUUGUCUACUAUAUGAUCUAGUACAGGGGGUACUUGUUAUGAUAUGUAAAAUAUAUGCAUAAAUAAUGUCAUGGGAGUGGUGUGAUCUGCCCUGUCUCAACCCUUCUGAGCCUCAGGGAAGAAGUGUCAGGUAUUCAUCGCCUACUAGGUAGAACUGUUUUGCAGCUAAACAUGAAUAGGAAAUGAAGAGGAUGCCCAAAAAGAUCCUGGAAGACCCAAAAGAAGAUGGUGGAGCACCUAGCAGAACAAUACAGUUGUUUAACUAAUGGAUAAGGCCUUCUAGGCUUUAACAUAUAGUGGCUUGUCUGGAUAAAACUUGUUCCUGGAAGAGACCUUCUGUAUAUUGACAAAAAUGUACCCAAAUAUCAGCAGCACUUGGAAUUCUCCCAUAUAAAGAGAUGAAAGAUGAAGUAUAAUAACAGACACUAUGUAGACUAUGUGUUAUUUGAAAAUAAUGACUUUUAAUCUGAAUGUUCUAAGACUGCAAUAUUUUUCAUUAAUAAAGAUCACCUUUUUUCUGCUA